UUGGAAAAUCAGAUUCUCUUUAGCUUCUUCAGUUGUUGUUGAAUCCCACCGGAGUAUUAUCUUCUCCGCCGUCUCUAAAUCGGAACUAUCGCCAUGAUUCUCUGGUGUUGCCAUAUUCAAAAUCGGAAACUGGAAAGUGUUUGACUUCACAGAUCGAUUUUGGUCCUCUUGCAGAGAAAUUGAAGAUCUCUUCUCAAAAGGCUGUGGAAAUCCAUUUCUGCAGAAUCGAGAGAAAGAGAGA
RNAcentral lists this long non-coding RNA (241 nucleotides) under Arabidopsis lyrata. RNAcentral's name for it is "long non-coding RNA (ALYR_LNC001792)". The record is from RNAcentral. Lineage: Eukaryota; Viridiplantae; Streptophyta; Magnoliopsida; Brassicales; Brassicaceae.